CCUACGGGGGGCAGCAGUGGGGGAUAUUGCACAAUGGGGGGAACCCUGAUGCAGCGACGCCGCGGGGGUGAAGAAGGGCCUCGGCGCGGAAAGCCCUGUCAGCAGGGAAGAAAAGGACGGUACCUGAAGAAGAAGCCCCGGCUAACGACGGGCCAGCAGCCGCGGUAAUACGUAGGGGGCAAGCGUGAUCCGGAUUUACUGGGUGUAAAGGGGGCGCAGACGGCGAUGCAAGCCAGGAGUGAAAGCCCGGGGCCCAACCCCGGGACUGCUCGUGGAACUGCGUGGCUGGAGUGCAGGAGGGGCAGGCGUCAUUCCUGGUGUAGCGGUGAACUGCGUCGAUAUCCGGCGGAACCCCGGUGGCGAAGGCGGCCUGCUGGACUGCAACUGCCGUUGAGGCCCGAAAGCGUG
Molecule: ribosomal RNA, 408 nt
Filed under: uncultured bacterium
Lineage: Bacteria
Description: partial 16S ribosomal RNA
Rfam family: Bacterial small subunit ribosomal RNA
Source: RNAcentral